UAGCGGCAGGCUUAAUACAUGCAAGUCGAGGGGCAGCAUGAGUGUAGCAAUACAUUUGAUGGCGGCCGGCAAACGGGUGCGGAACACGUACAGAACCUUCCUUCGAGCGGGGAAUAGCCCAGAGAAAUUUGGAUUAAUACCCCAUAGUACAACGGAGUGGCAUCACUUUGUUGUUAAAGAUUUAUCACUUGAAGAUGGCUGUGCGGCUGAUUAGGUAGUUGGCGGGGUAACGGCCCACCAAGCCUGCGAUCAGUAACUGGUGUGAGAGCACGACCAGUCACACGGGCACUGAGACACGGGCCCGACUCCUACGGGAGGCAGCAGUAAGGAAUAUUGGUCAAUGGACGAAAGUCUGAACCAGCCAUGCCGCGUGGAGGAUGAAGGUCCUCUGGAUUGUAAACUUC
RNAcentral lists this ribosomal RNA (404 nucleotides) under uncultured bacterium. RNAcentral describes it as "bacterial SSU rRNA". It matches the Rfam family "Bacterial small subunit ribosomal RNA", at positions 37 to 433 of the family's 1533-position model. The record is from RNAcentral.